RNAcentral lists this ribosomal RNA (253 nucleotides) under uncultured bacterium. Its description in RNAcentral is "partial 16S ribosomal RNA". It matches the Rfam family "Bacterial small subunit ribosomal RNA", at positions 524 to 776 of the family's 1533-position model. The record is from RNAcentral.
UACAGAGGGGGCAAGCGUUGUCCGGACUUACUGGGUGUAAAGCGCAUGCAGGUGGCUGUGCAAGUAUGCUGUGAAAGCCCCGUGCUUAACACGGGGAGGCCAGUAUAGACUGCACGGCUCGAGGACUGCAGAGGGUAGGGGAAUUCCUGGUGUAGCGGUGAAAUGCGCAGAUAUCAGGAGGAACACCGGUGGCGAAGGCGGGUCUCUGGGCCGAUACUGACGCUGAGGAGCGAAAGCGUGGGGAGCGAACAGG